GGAGGAUCCAAGCGUUAUCCGGAUUCAUUGGGUUUAAAGGGUGCGUAGGCGGAAUGAUAAGUCAGUGGUGAAAUCUCGGAGCUUAACUCCGAAACUGCCAUUGAUACUGUCAAUCUUGAGUACAUUUGAUGAGGGCGGAAUGUGUCAUGUAGCGGUGAAAUGCUUAGAUAUGACACAGAACACCGAUUGCGAAGGCAGCUCUCAAAACUGUAACUGACGCUGAGGCACGAAAGCGUGGGUAUCAAACAGGAUUAGAUACCCUGGUAGUCCACGCUGUAAACUAUGAUUACUCGAUGUUUGCGAUAUACUGUAAGCGUCUAAGCGAAAGCGAUAAGUAAUCCACCUGGGGAGUACGCUCGCAAGAGUG
RNAcentral lists this ribosomal RNA (367 nucleotides) under uncultured organism. RNAcentral describes it as "bacterial SSU rRNA". It matches the Rfam family "Bacterial small subunit ribosomal RNA", at positions 527 to 896 of the family's 1533-position model. The record is from RNAcentral.